AAGGCUGAGACAUCCAAACGGCAGAGAUACAGAUACAGAACCGGUGCGCAUCUCAAUUCAGCAAAUACUGAAAAUGGAAUUCUUGCCGAAAACCACAAAAUGCAAUCCGGAUUCCGCGGAUGCAUCGGCUCCAGAAGUGGCCAAAAAGAGGCAAGAAGUGGCCAAAAAGAGGCAAGAAGUGGCCAAAAAUAGGCCAGAAUUUUCGCCGGAGAGGAUCGCGGUAACUCCUCGGAGGUCGCCCAGUCCCCUUGGAGAAUUAAGUAAUGUAAUGAGUCCUUUGCCGAAUCUUCCGAGCCCCCCCCGUGCAGUGGAGGAUAAUUUAAUUAAUUUAUCGGCCACGCCUCCUCGCAAAAGAAGGAGGUUCCACCCCACAAUUUUUUGGAAGCCGGAAUCGCACAAGGACGGCAGUGGUCGAGAGUGGACCACAUUAAAAUAUCAAUGCGAAAUUUGUUUUAAAAUUUGCCAAAAACCGAAGGCAUAUGAGAACCACAUAAUGUUGUGCAAAAAUGAUUGCAAAACAGUGGCUUGCAAGUGGUGCCCCUAUGUCCAAAAGUCCUCCAAUUUGGGAAAUCACUGGAAGAGGUGCAUAGGGGGGAAAAAAUUGUAUAUCCCCAUUGGGGAACAAUUGAAGCAGCGGAAAAUGUGGUCCGAAAUGAAGGACACGUCGGGAUCGAAAUCGCAAGUGGAAAGUGUGGCCUCCACCCAAGAUUUUGGAUUUUCGGAAACGAUGCAGUUCGUCUUCAAUUCCAUUGAUGAAGACUUUUGAAAAAAUAUUGCCCACGGAGAAGUUACUUCCUUUCGUGUUUUAUUUUACCUCUCGCUGAAAACCCGAUCCAGCUUUCACAUAAUCCUGCCCAGCUUGUCCAGCUUACAACAACUAUUUUACAGAAUUUCCCUGGUUAUUAUUAUCUGCAUAUACAUACAUAUA
Molecule: small RNA, 928 nt
Filed under: Drosophila ananassae
Lineage: Eukaryota; Metazoa; Arthropoda; Insecta; Diptera; Drosophilidae
Description: GF26925
Source: RNAcentral